AGCGAGCGCUGGCGGCAGGCCUAACACAUGCAAGUCGAACGAACUCUUCGGAGUUAGUGGCGGACGGGUGAGUAACACGUGGGAACGUGCCUUUUGGUUCGGAAUAACUCAGGGAAACUUGUGCUAAUACCGAAUGUGCCCUUCGGGGGAAAGAUUUAUCGCCAUUAGAGCGGCCCGCGUCUGAUUAGCUAGUUGGUGAGGUAACGGCUCACCAAGGCGACGAUCAGUAGCUGGUCUGAGAGGAUGACCAGCCACACUGGGACUGAGACACGGCCCAGACUCCUACGGGAAGCAGCAGUGGGGAAUCUUGCGCAAUGGGCGAAAGCCUGACGCAGCCAUGCCGCGUGAAUGAUGAAGGUCUUAGGAUUGUAAAAUUCUUUCACCGGGGACGAUAAUGACGGUACCCGGAGAAGAAGCCCCGGCUAACUUCGUG
This 433-nucleotide ribosomal RNA is filed under the name uncultured bacterium. Its description in RNAcentral is "partial 16S ribosomal RNA". It matches the Rfam family "Bacterial small subunit ribosomal RNA", at positions 29 to 507 of the family's 1533-position model. The record is from RNAcentral.